RNAcentral lists this ribosomal RNA (308 nucleotides) under uncultured eukaryote. RNAcentral's name for it is "SSU rRNA". It matches the Rfam family "Eukaryotic small subunit ribosomal RNA", at positions 111 to 414 of the family's 1831-position model. The record is from RNAcentral.
AAUAAUUUAUUUGAUGGUCUCUUACUACAUGGAUAACUGUAGUAAUUCUAGAGCUAAUACAUGCGUAAAAUCUCGACUCUAGCGGGGAGAGAUGUAUUUAUUAGAUAAAAAACCAAUGCGGGCUUUGCCCGGUUUUGUGGUGAAUCAUAGUAACUUUUCGAAGCGCAUGGCUUCACGCCGGCGCUAGUUCAUUCAAAUUUCUGCCCUAUCAGCUUUCGACGGUAGUGUAGUGGACUACCGUGGCAUUAACGGGUAACGGAGAAUUAGGGUUCGAUUCCGGAGAGGGAGCCUGAGAAACGGCUACCACA